UACGGAGGGUGCAAGCGUUAUCCGGAUUCACUGGGUUUAAAGGGUGCGUAGGCGGGAUGGCAAGUCGGUCGUGAAAUCCCUCGGCUCAACUGAGGGUCGUCGAUCGAUACUGCCGUUCUUGAGGAUUGCAGAGGAGACUGGAAUUCCCGGUGUAGCGGUGAAAUGUGUAGAGAUCGGGAGGAACACCGGUGGCGAAGGCGGGUCUCUGGGCAAUUCCUGACGCUGAGGCGCGAAAGCGUGGGUAGCAAACAGG
This 253-nucleotide ribosomal RNA is filed under the name uncultured bacterium. Its description in RNAcentral is "partial 16S ribosomal RNA". It matches the Rfam family "Bacterial small subunit ribosomal RNA", at positions 524 to 776 of the family's 1533-position model. The record is from RNAcentral.